Molecule: ribosomal RNA, 301 nt
Filed under: uncultured bacterium
Lineage: Bacteria
Description: partial 16S ribosomal RNA
Rfam family: Bacterial small subunit ribosomal RNA
Source: RNAcentral
CAGCCGCCGCGGUAAUACGUAGGGCGCAAGCGUUAUCCGGAAUUAUUGGGCGUAAAGAGCUCGUAGGCGGUUUGUCGCGUCUGCCGUGAAAGUCCGGGGCUCAACCCCGGAUCUGCGGUGGGUACGGGCAGACUAGAGUGAUGUAGGGGAGACUGGAAUUCCUGGUGUAGCGGUGAAAUGCGCAGAUAUCAGGAGGAACACCGAUGGCGAAGGCAGGUCUCUGGGCAUUAACUGACGCUGAGGAGCGAAAGCAUGGGGAGCGAACAGGAUUAGAUACCCCAGUAGUCCCUGUCUCUUAUAA